RNAcentral lists this transfer RNA (73 nucleotides) under Herbaspirillum sp. RNAcentral describes it as "tRNA-Phe". It matches the Rfam family "tRNA". From Rfam's summary of the family: Transfer RNA (tRNA) molecules are approximately 80 nucleotides in length. Their secondary structure includes four short double-helical elements and three loops (D, anti-codon, and T loops). Further hydrogen bonds mediate the characteristic L-shaped molecular structure. tRNAs have two regions of fundamental functional importance: the anti-codon, which is responsible for specific mRNA codon recognition, and the 3' end, to which the tRNAs corresponding amino acid is attached (by aminoacyl-tRNA synthetases). tRNAs cope with the degeneracy of the genetic code in two manners: having more than one tRNA (with a specific anti-codon) for a particular amino acid; and 'wobble' base-pairing, i.e. permitting non-standard base-pairing at the 3rd anti-codon position. Lineage: Bacteria; Pseudomonadati; Pseudomonadota; Betaproteobacteria; Burkholderiales; Oxalobacteraceae. The record is from RNAcentral.
GCCGAAUUAGCUCAGUUGGGAGAGCGUCAGACAGAAGAUCUGAAGGUCUAUGGUUCAAUCCCGUGUUUCGGCA